UGCGUUUGACUACUCUUAACAGCCUCAUAAUUCUGUUCCGGCUUCGGUAAUACAGAAGAAAAAAAGCAUCCAGAAUAGCAUUCUGCUGCCUCACCUUUUAAAGUCCUGUAUGUAUAAAUGUGUGUGUACAGAUGUGCAUACUAGGAUAUGUGCAACCCAUAUCUCCACAAGCCACGUCACUUGGAAUUACAGAAACUCCAGCCCUCCCCAAAUGGCACCACUCCCCCAUGUCUUAUCCUCUUUCAUCUACAGCCUGGUACCCACAAUAUUCCUCCCAGGGUCCAGCUGCCCUGGAAUAUCCCUCCCCUGAAAUGUCACCUGGGCCCCCUAAUGAGCCAAGGAAAUUUUGUAAAACACUCCUUUUAUUGUGCUUUUUUAUUAGAGUCCCUUCUUCUUAGGGCCCAAGCAAGAAUCUCUGAGAGCCAAGCCAGAGGCAAGGUGAUGGAAUGAGCACUGGAGUCACGCCCACUUGCCCAUCGUGUUAGUCAGCGUGGGCGGCUCUAACAGAAUAUCUAGACUGGGUCUACGAUAAACAGCAGAAACUUCUUCCUCACAGUUCUGGAGUCCGGAAAUCCCAGAUCAGGGCAGCAGCAUCAUUGGGUUCUAGUGAGGGCUCUCUUCCAGGUUGCACAUGGCCGCCUUCUUGCUCUGUCCUCAUGUGGCAAAAAGUGCAGAGAGAGCUCUCUGGGUUCCCUUUUAUAAGGGCACUACUCCUAUUCAUGAGAGCUCUGUCUUCAUGACCUAAUUGUCUCCCAAAGGCCCCAUCUCCUAAGACCAUCAAUUAGGGGUAAGGACUUCAACAUAUGAAUUUGUGAGGCACACAAACAUUCAAUUCCUAGAGCCCAUUGUCUUUGACCGCCAUGUGCCCUUUGACUCUCCCUUCCAUUAAGAUAACUUUCCUUGUGGAUUUCCGGCUCUCUCGUAGGCUUGCUAAAUACCAGGGUAAACACAAUUUGUGUGUGUUGCUCAAACGUUGCAUAAUUCUACACCCUCGUUAUAGAGAGAUUAAGCUCAUUUGAAGGUUGAGGUCAGUCCCUGGUCUGCUAAUUACCCAAGAUAGAACUGGGUCACUCAGGAACUAAAAGUACAGGAGAGGGAACUGGGGGUUGGGUCCUGCUGUGGUGUCUGCAGAUAGCCUGUCAAAAGAGUAACCUGGAGGAACACAAGGAGGCUUGAAGCACCGGGUAAGUCUAGCUAUGGUACAGGCUCAGUGGCCAAGGCAAAAAACAGUCCAGAUUGGAACUAUCACAAAUACACAUCCACAUACAAACACACACCAAGGCCCAGGGCCAAGAAACACAUUCCAAAACCCAGGGCAUCGGAGGCAGUCCAAACUGACUAAGCAAGAUGGCACAUCAGUAAGUCAAGCUGAUAGAACACUGAGAUGAAGAGUCAGAUAUCCAAGUCUAGAAGAGUGUCUCAAGCCAGGGACAAAUCCAACUAUCCACAUUAAGAAGUCCUGCAAGUCAUUAGGGACAGCACUUAAAAAGGAG
Molecule: long non-coding RNA, 1493 nt
Filed under: Homo sapiens (human)
Lineage: Eukaryota; Metazoa; Chordata; Mammalia; Primates; Hominidae
Description: HSALNT0158982
Source: RNAcentral